This 448-nucleotide ribosomal RNA is filed under the name uncultured bacterium. RNAcentral's name for it is "bacterial SSU rRNA". It matches the Rfam family "Bacterial small subunit ribosomal RNA", at positions 328 to 792 of the family's 1533-position model. The record is from RNAcentral.
UAGCCAGACUCCUACGGUAGGCAGCAGUGGUGGAUAUUGCACAAUUGGGGAAACCCUGAUGCAGCGACGCCGCUUGAGUGAAGAAGUAUUUCGGUAUGUAAAUCUCUAUCAGCAGGGAAGAAAAAAGACGGUACCUGACUAAGAAGCCCCGGCUAACUACGUGCCAGCAGCCGCGGUAAUACGUAGGGGGCAAGCGUUAUCCGGAUUUACUGGGUGUAAAGGGAGCGUAGACGGCAAUACAAGUCGGAAGUGAAAUACCCGGGCUCAAACUGGGAACUGCUUUGGAAACUGUGCGGAUGGAGUGCAGGAGGGGUAAGCGGAAUUACUAGUGUAGAGGUGAAAUGAGUAGAUAUAAGGAGGAAAACCGGUGGAGAAGGCGGACAACUGGGAUUUAACUGAAGAUGAGGAUAGAAAGUGUGGGGAGCAAAAAGGAUUAGAUAAACCCGUA